Long non-coding RNA from Sphaerodactylus townsendi, 1065 nucleotides. RefSeq lists it as uncharacterized. Lineage: Eukaryota; Metazoa; Chordata; Lepidosauria; Squamata; Sphaerodactylidae. The transcript has 2 exons. The record is from RefSeq and is a predicted model, not a curated record.
CACUCCACUGGGCUGCAGCCGUCAACCACGUACGAGCUGCCGUUGUCCUGCUCCGAAGUGGAGCCGAUAAGGAUGCCCAGGACCAGCGGGCGCAGGCGCCACUCUUCCUUGCAGCCCAAGAGGGGAGCUACAAAGUGGUUUGCCUCCUCCUACAACACGGUGCCCAGCAGAAUGUCCCGGACCACGUGGGCCGCCUGGCAAGAGAUGUGGCCCAGGAGCGCCUCCACCAUGAUAUCGUGGCCCUCUUGGACCCGCCCCACCCCUCCCCCCUAACUGGCCAGCCCCCAUCACGCAGGCCACGCCCCCACCACAACCGCUCAGCAGCCGACUCCCGCAAAUUAUCACGGCAGGCCGGCAAAUGUCAGCUUCCCCGUCCCAGAAAACGAAAUCCCUCUGAAGCGUCUUCCUCCCACCACGUUGCCCACGAGCAUAUCAGAGGCUGUGCUGCCAUCUCCUGAGUGAUUCCAACCCCCUCUGGGUGUGGGUGGUUCAGGGGAGGGUGCUGUGGGGCCCAGGGGGCAGCCAACCGAGCCAGGGGUGGGAUACUCUGCAGAGAGGUCAGGCAGGGAAGGACUUCAGCGGUCACAGGAAGACGCUAGAAGCUUCCUUGGAGUGGAGGAAGAAGUGCUCUGGUGCCCCUGCAUGGAAGAAUUAGGACGGCCAUGACAUCAGAGGAAUGUUGGAGAAGAGAUCUGAUGUCACGCAUGAUGUCACACGGCAGGAAAGGUGACCGUGCUUAUGAAUAAUGAUGCCUCUCCAAAACUGAAGGCUGCACGAAAGGCCUCCUCAUCAACUAGAUCUGGCUAUAGGGAAAGACGAGGGGGCGGUCUCAAGGCAGUGCGUUACGCCACCCCCAUUUUUGAGAACUGCCGCUGUUCCUUCCACACUCCUGUGUCUACACUUGGCUUCUGCACUGCGGGUUCCAGUCAGACCAGAGUCCUUUUAAGGAGAUGGACCGGGGGUGGAUUGAAACCAGGUGACUCCUGUCACCUAGCUGGAAAACGGCCGCAUGGUUGUCACUGAGGCAUCAACUACACAUUAUAAAAACCCCUAUUGUCCUCUGUA